CUGCCGCAGGUCUGCGCGGGGAGGACGAGGCCGGGCCCCACCGAGCGCGCGAGGAGCCGCUGCUGCCCGGGCCGCCUGGGUGAGCGGUAUCCCCGCGAUGCCCAUGAGGAAACUGAGGCACACAGAAAUGAAGCACCUUCCUUGAAGUUACACAGCUUCAUUAACAGAAGCUUUGUGAGAAGAGUAAGGACUGAGGUAUGCCAUCUUACAGUGUGGACCAGACUUUCAGAAAGGUCAAAGCAUUAAGAUUGCACUCUGAAUAGCCCCGUGUCUCCAGCACCCAGAGCCUUGUGUUAAAUCAUCAUUUCCCAUCAGGAAUCCCAGCAUGUGAACUGGACAUGGUCCUUCAGUUAGAGAGAGAACAGCUGUGAUAGCUGAAUCUUCAGGAAACCAAAGAGGGCAGUGAGUGAAACUACCUGUUUGGGCGGCACAUUGGCCCCAGGCAAAGCGAGAGGUCCCUGGAGAAUUAGCCAGGUGGAAGGAGGCCUGGACUCAUGGCACCUGGGGGACUGAUUGGCCUUGCCGCCCAGAGCUCUGGGCCUGCACUUACCCUCCAGUGUGUGCUGCAAGCUCCUGCAGGCUGAGAUCACGUCAACCUCAAGCUCCACGGUGCCUGGGCCCCCAGUCUGAGGUUGUAGUAUGUGGUUGUUCGGUAAAUGAGCCAGGGGCUCCUGGAGAUAGAUGGCCUCGGGGACACCAUGACCAAGCCUCAUUCCAUCACGUGGCCCCUGCAGCCCCUCUGUGUGCAUUCUUUACCAGCAAGAGGCUGCUCUCUGUGAACUGCACAGGAUGGAGGAAGAAAGAGCUUAGAGUCUUAUCCCCCCACCGGGUCUCCUUGAAUAAGCUGAACACUACCACCACCCUCCACCAAGAUGAGUUACAUCCGAAACCCUGGCACCCAGUAACCAGUGGCACAAGGACGGGAGUCUCCCAUUCCACACGGCCUCUAGUGUUUUCCAUUGUGGGAUCUCCUCUGGAAAUGAGAAGACCCUUCACACAAGUCCAGAAACUUCAUUGCUGUGGGAGGGCCUUGCCCUGUAUCCUGAGAUCUCUCCUCUCUGCUGGUUUCCACAUCUCUACAGUGGGAGCACUGUAAUUCCUCCAUAAUGGAAGCCUUGAGAAAUUAAUACCAAGAUGACAUUCCUUUACAGUGAUUUCAACUUACAACGGAGAAAGGUCCUGAGAUUUGAAAUAGCUGCCUUACUUCCUGAAUUUGAUCUGUUUCUGUCUGGCACCUUCAGUUAAGGAAGGGACAAGAUUCCAGCGUAGGUUGCUAGCAUUUAGAUAAGCCAAAGACUGCACUGAUUAUUUUCACUUGAGAAAAUCUGCAGCACCCCCUCCUCCAAACCUCCUCUGUAGAAGAGUCUCGAACGUUUCUGUACUACCUUCUGUUCUCAAAGAUCUCCAUUCUCAAGGCCAGGCUGGGAAAUUGUCAGUUGCUCUGAAAAGAGCUGCCUGAUAAUUAGACUAGAUUGCGAAGGAAACAUAGGGGCCUUUCUCUUCCGUGCUUGGCCCAUACAGAUUUCUGGCUUGCAUGCUAUCCUGACCAGGUUGGCCACCACUGGCCAUACAGGCUGUGGGCUGCACACUGCCAGGGGCAUCGUUAGCCCUGUCAUCUGCAUUUGGUAAGCAAAUAAAAUGACCUUUAAAAAGCUGUUGAAUUUCUGUACUUCAGUGAGGAAAUAAAUUAAUCCUACCUCCCAGAGCUUGUGAGAACCCAACUUACAAAACAAGAUGGUAGUCAAAAUUAUGUGUACAACAGCUAAUCUCUGAGGCUCCUGGGAGGAGCCACAUGACACAGCUAUCAACUAAAGGAGUGGAUAAUGAAAUCUAUUCCAGUUCUUUCCAGGUGCAUAUUAGGAGUUCAAAAAACAUACUAAAGCCUGGCCCCUACCCCCUGACCAAUUUAAUUACGUCUUCAAGGGUGGGGCCUUGGCAACAGAAUUUUAUAAAGUUCUUGAAGUGAUUCCACUAUUCAGUGAAAGUUAAAUAACACUGGUUUAGCUAUGGAAGGGGAUCUUUGUGAUGAACUUCUAGAAUGUUAAAACGUGCUAAGAAGAGAUAGUUAACAGGAAGGUUUAAUACUUGCCCUGAAGUGAACUAUUAUAUUACUGAUAAAUUAUUAAGAAUUUUUUACAAUUAUUUUUAUUAAGAACCAGUAAAUCAACUUAAAUGCAUCAGAACAGGAGCAUAAUAGAUCCUCAGUCUAGUUACUGAAGCACAAAUGCUUUCUAUUAGCAAAACAUGCAUAAAUACACACACUCUAGAUGCAACAUAGGAAAAUGCUGAUGUAUAGUAACCCUGAUCAAGAAUAUAUUGUGAAUAUUCAAAACUGGAAUAUAAAACUCCAAACCACUUCUGAAACCAUCUACUCCAAACCCCUCAUUCACAGAGCAAACUGAACCUUAAAACGGUUGAAUUUUCCAAUGUCACAAAGUUGCUUAAAAACAUAAUCGGAUUACUUCAGCCUGAUGUCCUUUCCAUUCUAUUGUGUGACAGUGUGUGACAGUGAAAAGUUAAAAUAUUUUAAGCACUUUCUCAAUUCCUCUGGUUCUUCAGUACUUAACAAAAGGACAAACCAGACUUCCUCAAAGAGUCAUAUGCCAGGGUGCAGUCUCUGAUGUUUGUUGAGAGCAGACCGGUAUCUGAACGCUUUUCCACAAUCAUUACAGCCAAAAGGUUUCUCUCCUGAAUGGAUUCUCUGAUGCUGAAUGAGGUAUGUGCUCUGGCUGAAAGUCUUCCUGCAUUCAUUACAGUUGUAAGGUUUCUCCCCCGUGUGAGUGUUCUGAUGUUCAGUCAGAUGUGUGCUCCGGCUGAAAGCUUUGUCACAUUCGUUACACUUAUAGGGCUUCUCUCCAGUGUGAAUUCGUUGAUGCUGUGUCAGAUGAGAGCUCUGGCUGAAAGCCUUUUCGCAUUUAUUACACUGGUAGGGUUUCUCUUCUGUGUGAGUUUUUUGAUGUUGAGCAAGAGAUGAACAGUGCCGGAAGGCUUUGCCACACUCGGCACACUCGUAAGGCUUUGCUCCUGUGUGGAUUCUCUUAUGUUGUGUGAGGUGUAUGUUUUGGUUGAAGGCUCUCCCACAUUCAUUACACUUGUAAGGUCGCUCUCCAGUGUGUAUUUUCCUAUGCUGAAUAAGGGAGGAGCCAUAACUGAAGGUUUUCCCACACUCAUGACACUGAUAGGGCUUCUCACCUGUAUGAAUUCUCUCAUGUUUAGCCAGAGAUGAACUCCGAAUAAAGGCUUUUCCACACUCCUUACAUUCAUAGGCUUUCUCCUGGGUAUGCGUCUUCUGAUGCUGAUUAAGGUUGGAGAGGUAACUGAAAGCCUUCCCACAUUCACUGCACUCGAAGGGCUUUUCUCUGGUGUGGAUUCUCCGAUGCUGAGUAAGGGAGGAGCAGUAACUGAAGGCCUUUCCACAUUCAUUGCAUUUGUAAGGUUUUUCUCCAGUAUGAAUUUUCAGAUGUUGAGCAAGGGAUGACCAGUAACUGAAGGAUUUUCCACAUUCGGCACAGUCAUAUGGUUUCUCCCCCGUGUGUGUUUUCUGAUGUUGAGUGAGGUUUGAGUGCUGGCUGAAGGCUUUCCCACACUCGUUGCACUCAUAUGGUUUCUCACCCGUGUGGAUCAUGUGAUGACGGAUAAAUGUUGAGGGACCAUUGAAGGCCUUUCCACAUUCAUUACAUUUAUAGGUCUUCUCCCCGGUAUGAAUUUUCUGAUGCUGAGUAAGAUGUGUGCUCCUGGUAAAGGUUUUAUCACAUUCAUCACAUUUAAAAGGCUUUUCUCCUGUAUGAAUUUUCUGAUGUUCCAUAAAAUGGCCUCUCUGGCUAAAGGCUUUUCCACACUCGUUGCAAGUAUAUGGUUUCUCACCCGUAUGAAUUCUCUGAUGCUGAACAAGAUGGGUCCUCUGACUAAAGGCUUUCCCACAUUCAUCACAUUUAUAGGGUUUUUCUCCAGUGUGAAUUCUUUGAUGUUGAGUAAGAGAUGGACCCUCAAUGAAGCCUUUCCCACACUGAUCGCACUUAUAUGGUUUAUCUCCAGUAUGAAUUCUUUGAUGGUUUA
This is an RNA transcript of Canis lupus familiaris (dog), 4056 nucleotides long. It is a transcript of the gene named zinc finger protein 391, with no coding region annotated. The record is from RefSeq and is a predicted model, not a curated record. The transcript is spliced from 6 exons. NCBI's taxonomy places the organism in Eukaryota, Metazoa, Chordata, Mammalia, Carnivora, Canidae.